GGGGCAUGCACAUCUUCAUCACCUCAACCUCUGCAUAAGGUGUGUCAGCAUCAACAUGACUACCAUCAGACAUCAAAUAUCUCAGAAGUUUGCAGGGUGUCUCAGCAACUAACUUUGAUGGAUCAUGAUCAUUCUGUAGCAAGCAAGUUCUUCCAUCAAUUAGAAGGCGAGUUCCAGCUGCUUCCUCCUCUGCAUAUAUAACAUGACUGUUCCCGUCCAGCUGCAUCAACAGUCCUCCGUCACGCAGAGUAUGUGUUUCUGCUUCGAUCUCUGAUUCAUUCAUCCUCAAUCUGUAGCUUCCUG
RNAcentral lists this unclassified non-coding RNA (303 nucleotides) under Hevea brasiliensis (rubber tree). The record is from RNAcentral. Lineage: Eukaryota; Viridiplantae; Streptophyta; Magnoliopsida; Malpighiales; Euphorbiaceae.